AAGGAUCAUUAUCGAGAGAGGCGUCAGCCUCGGGGGCUUCGGCUCCAACUCUUUACCCGGUGGCUAUGCAGCUCAAGUCCCUUUGGCGGCACAUUGGUCGCCAGGAGGCCUUCAAAAUUCUGCCAUCAGUGUCGUCCGAGUCAUUGAAUAACUAAAACUUUCAACAACGGAUCUCUUGGUUCUGGCAUCGAUGAAGAACGCAGCGAAAUGCGAUAAGUAAUGUGAAUUGCAGAAUUCAGUGAAUCAUCGAAUCUUUGAACGCACAUUGCGCCCCUUGGCAUUCCGAGGGGCAUACCUGUUCGAGCGUCAUUACACCCCUCAAGCUGGGCUUGGUGUUGGGCCUCGUCCCCCGGGACGGGCCUGAAUAGCAGUGGCGGUCCGACGUGGCUUCAAGCGCAGUGAAACACAUGUUCGCUUGAAAGGCGCGCCUGGGUCCCGCCAGACAACCCGUAUGGCUAUCCGUUUGACCUCGGAUCAGGUAGGGAUACCCGCUGAACUUAA
Molecule: ribosomal RNA, 501 nt
Filed under: Lobaria linita
Lineage: Eukaryota; Fungi; Ascomycota; Lecanoromycetes; Peltigerales; Lobariaceae
Description: eukaryotic LSU rRNA
Rfam family: 5.8S ribosomal RNA (bases 156-309)
Source: RNAcentral